UGGACGGAGGGUUUGAUCCUGGCUCAGGGUGAACGCUAGCGGCGUGCCUAAUACAUGCAAGUCGUGCGGGGAACCUCCCUUCGGGG
RNAcentral lists this ribosomal RNA (86 nucleotides) under Thermotogales bacterium. RNAcentral describes it as "partial 16S ribosomal RNA". It matches the Rfam family "Bacterial small subunit ribosomal RNA", at positions 1 to 86 of the family's 1533-position model. The record is from RNAcentral. Lineage: Bacteria; Thermotogati; Thermotogota; Thermotogae; Thermotogales.